Molecule: ribosomal RNA, 492 nt
Filed under: uncultured bacterium
Lineage: Bacteria
Description: partial 16S ribosomal RNA
Rfam family: Bacterial small subunit ribosomal RNA
Source: RNAcentral
AGUGAACGCUGGCGGUAGGCCUAACACAUGCAAGUCGAACGGCAGCACAGUAAGAGCUUGCUCUUACGGGUGGCGAGUGGCGGACGGGUGAGGAAUACAUCGGACUCUACUUUUUCGUGGGGGAUAACGUAGGGAAACUUACGCUAAUACCGCAUACGACCUACGGGGGAAAGCAGGGGAACUUCGGACCUUGCGCGAUUGAAUGAGCCGAUGUCGGAUUAGCUAGUUGGCGGGGUAAAGGCCCACCAAGGCGACGAUCCGUAGCUGGUCUGAGAGGAUGAGCAGCCACACUGGAACUGAGACACGGUCCAGACUCCUACGGGAGGCAGCAGUGGGGAAUAUUGGACAAUGGGCGCAAGCCUGAUCCAGCCAUACCGCGUGGGUGAAGAAGGCCUUCGGGUUGUAAAGCCCUUUUGUUGGGAAAGAAAAGCAGCAGGUUAAUACCCCGCUGUUCUGACGGUACCCAAAGAAUAAGCACCGGCUAACUUCGUG